GCAUUUCAAAAGAUUUUUAAGGAAUCUUAAGGAGUUUUAAGAUUUUUUAAAACAUUUUUUUAAAGAUUUUUAAAGUCUUUUGAAGCAAUUUUAAGUAGUUUUCAAGGAAUUUUAAGGAUUUUGAAAGUUUUUUAGAACAUUUUUUAAAGAUUUUUGAAGUGUUUUGAAGUAUUUUUAAAACUUUUUUCAUGAAUUUUUAAGCAUUUUAAAGAUCCUUUUAAGUAUAUUUAAGCUUUUU
RNAcentral lists this long non-coding RNA (238 nucleotides) under Theobroma cacao (cacao). RNAcentral's name for it is "long non-coding RNA (TCAC_LNC005710)". Lineage: Eukaryota; Viridiplantae; Streptophyta; Magnoliopsida; Malvales; Malvaceae. The record is from RNAcentral.